RNAcentral lists this unclassified non-coding RNA (357 nucleotides) under soil metagenome. RNAcentral describes it as "partial contains 5.8S ribosomal RNA, internal transcribed spacer 2, and large subunit ribosomal RNA". The stretch from base 1 to 120 matches the Rfam family "5.8S ribosomal RNA", at positions 35 to 154 of the family's 154-position model. The record is from RNAcentral.
GAUGAAGAACGUAGCGAAAUGCGAUAAGUAAUGUGAAUUGCAGAAUUCAGUGAAUCAUCGAAUCUUUGAACGCACAUUGCGCCCGUUAGCAUUCUAGCGGGCAUGCCUGUCCGAGCGUCAUUUCAACCCUCAGGGUCCCCGUUCCGGCGGGGAACCUGGUGUUGGGGAUCGGCCCGCCCCGUGCGGCGCCGUCCCCCAAAUUCAGUGGCGGUCUCGCUGCAGCCUCCCCUGCGUAGUAGUUACAACCUCGCAUCGGAGCUCAGCGCGGCCACGCCGUAAAACCCCCGACUUUCUGAACGUUGACCUCGGAUCUGGUAGGAAUACUCGCUGAACUUAAGCAUAUCAAAAAGCGGAGGA